UACGAAGGGGGCUAGCGUUGCUCGGAAUGACUGGGCGUAAAGGGCGCGUAGGCGGUUUGUACAGUCAGGUGUGAAAUUCCCGGGCUCAACCUGGGGGCUGCACUUGAUACGUAUGAACUGGAGUGGGGAAGAGGGUCGUGGAAUUCCCAGUGUAGAGGUGAAAUUCGUAGAUAUUGGGAAGAACACCGGUGGCGAAGGCGGCUCACUGGUCCGAUACUGACGCUGAGGUGCGAAAGCGUGGGGAGCAAACAGG
This 253-nucleotide ribosomal RNA is filed under the name uncultured bacterium. RNAcentral's name for it is "partial 16S ribosomal RNA". It matches the Rfam family "Bacterial small subunit ribosomal RNA", at positions 524 to 776 of the family's 1533-position model. The record is from RNAcentral.